Molecule: transfer RNA, 86 nt
Filed under: Anaerolineae bacterium
Lineage: Bacteria; Bacillati; Chloroflexota; Anaerolineae
Description: tRNA-Leu
Rfam family: tRNA
About the family: Transfer RNA (tRNA) molecules are approximately 80 nucleotides in length.
Source: RNAcentral
GCCCCGGUGGCGGAAUUGGCAUACGCGGCAGGUUGAGGGCCUGUGCCCGUACGGGCGUGGUGGUUCGAGUCCACUCCGGGGCACCU